UACGUAGGGUGCGAGCGUUAAUCGGAAUUACUGGGCGUAAAGCGUGCGCAGGCGGUUGUGCAAGACAGAUGUGAAAUCCCCGGGCUUAACCUGGGAAUGGCAUUUGUGACUGCACGGCUAGAGUGUGUCAGAGGGGGGUAGAAUUCCACGUGUAGCAGUGAAAUGCGUAGAGAUGUGGAGGAAUACCGAUGGCGAAGGCAGCCCCCUGGGAUAACACUGACGCUCAGGCACGAAAGCGUGGGGAGCAAACAGGAUUAGAUACCCUCGUAGUCC
Molecule: ribosomal RNA, 273 nt
Filed under: uncultured bacterium
Lineage: Bacteria
Description: partial 16S ribosomal RNA
Rfam family: Bacterial small subunit ribosomal RNA
Source: RNAcentral